GAGUUUGAUCAUGGCUCAGAUUGAACGCUGGCGGCAGGCCUAACACAUGCAAGUCGAGCGGCAGCACGGGGAGCUUGCUCCCUGGUGGCGAGCGGCGGACGGGUGAGUAAUGCAUGGGAAUCUGCCCGGUAGUGGGGGAUAACCCGGGGAAACCCGGGCUAAUACCGCAUACGUCCUACGGGAGAAAGCAGGGGAUCUUAGGACCUUGCGCUAUCGGAUGAGCCCAUGUCGGAUUAGCUUGCUGGUGAGGUAACGGCUCACCAGGGCGACGAUCCGUAGCUGGUCUGAGAGGAUGAUCAGCCACACCGGGACUGAGACACGGCCCGGACUCCUACGGGAGGCAGCAGUGGGGAAUAUUGGACAAUGGGGGAAACCCUGAUCCAGCCAUGCCGCGUGUGUGAAGAAGGCUUUCGGGUUGUAAAGCACUUUCAGCGGGGAAGAAGGCAUGGCGGCUAAUACCCGCCAUGAAGGACAUCACCCGCAGAAGAAGCACCGGCUAACUCCGUGCCAGCAGCCGCGGUAAUACGGAGGGUGCAAGCGUUAAUCGGAAUUACUGGGCGUAAAGGGCGCGUAGGCGGCCUGCCAAGCCGGAUGUGAAAGCCCCGGGCUCAACCCGGGAACGGCAUUCGGAACUGGCAGGCUAGAGUGCAGGAGAGGAAGGUGGAAUUCCCGGUGUAGCGGUGAAAUGCGUAGAGAUCGGGAGGAAUACCAGUGGCGAAGGCGGCCUUCUGGACUGACACUGACGCUGAGGCGCGAAAGCGUGGGUAGCAAACAGGAUUAGAUACCCUGGUAGUCCACGCCGUAAACGAUGUCGACCAGCCGUUGGACCCCCUGAGGGUCUGGUGGCGCAGUUAA
RNAcentral lists this ribosomal RNA (855 nucleotides) under uncultured bacterium. RNAcentral's name for it is "bacterial SSU rRNA". It matches the Rfam family "Bacterial small subunit ribosomal RNA", at positions 9 to 855 of the family's 1533-position model. The record is from RNAcentral.